UCGUUAACUAGGCUUCCCGAUCGCCCCUAUGAACAAUGUCAUAAAAUAACAUCUAAACUUCAGAAAAUCAACGGCAGAAUAACAGCACAGGAACACCAGCAUCAAAUCUAUUGAUUAUGACGAUUGUGAUCACCUUGCAAGAACACGCACUCCUCAAUUUAGGUCAAGUUGCCUCGGCAGCUGACUGAUUAAGCCAUUAGGUCACACUGCAAUAGGAAGAUCCGAGCACUCGGUUACGACACAGGUGCUAUAAACAGGGCUUAAAAGGACGGGCUAUGGAAGAAAGGCACGGUAAACAAGAGCCAAGACGAGUCAACGUGAAAACUAAACAAUUUGGAGUUCCAGAGGGACUAAUAAAAUCUCGGCCCAUUCCUUUGCCGCCGACAGGUAACACGGUACCGGAAAGGCCGAAGGCUCAAAAUCCGAAACCGCCGAAAAAUGUGAAAGCAUGAAAUUCGAUAAACCUUACUUUCUGCUUCAAGCCCAGAUCGCCACCUCAUUGGAUCUGAAGGGUUCAAUUUACAAUGUAUCCUAGGCCGCGCUGUACUGACUUUCGUCCGUUCUCGCUUAUAGCUGGAAUAUUGCUGAGUGCGCCGUUAAACAACAAACCAGCCAACCAAGCAACCAACCGUUCUCGCUUCGUCGCCGUGAAUAGCUGGAAACUUGCUGAUACGAUGUAAACAAUAUUCAAGCAUUCAUUCAUUCUCCCUUCUCUUCUGACAUCACAUGUCCCAUGCCACUGGACACUUCCAUCGAUCACACCAGCAAUAGCGUCGUCCCGUGGGAGUCUGCUACGAUUUCAAAGAUGGUCGGCAUUGCAACAAUAUUGAAAAAGACUAUUUGUGCCAUUUCACAAUGUGUGAUUGUGACGAGGUUCGGAUUGAGCCCCUAGUAUUGUUAUUACUUAUGUAUGUUAAAUGUUUAAUUCCUUUGGGUUUUUAGUCACCUUUCAGGAGAUAACUAAAUAACCACUUGGGCCUUUGUUGUAUAGAACACAUGUUCUUAAAGCGCAAACUCUGCACUCCAUCAUAGUGUAUUAUCAGUCGUGUUAUCCGUAGUCUGUUAACAAACACACACGCUGGCCGCUUGGAGUGAAAGAUUCCCGGAUCGGAAUUGUCCACUUUGACGUUCGAACGUGACCUAUAAAAGCUUACUUCUAAAUAUACUCGGAGUUCUCCGACGUUGAAGACCAGCUUGUCCUACCGUCGGGCCCCGACGUUAGAUCAGAGGCUGGAGUCGCUGUCCAUAGCUGAAGAUCAGAAGGUUUGAGCUGGCGUCAGGUGAAAAGAGUUUGGCUUUGUGGUAUCUGUAUAACUGUUACAUUUACUAAAUGUAAUACCCUCUGUGUAUUUGUAUUAGGGCACUUGUAUGUAAGUACUGACUUACCAUCAACGUUGCUAAACAUGUAUAUUCGCCUGUUGGACGUGUCUCACGCUGUGUGAGUUCAACUUGUAUCUGCUUACAUAAAGCCUUCAUGCUUUAGCUUGGUUUCAUUUUAAUGGUUAUGAAUCCCUAAACAGACAGACAGACAUAUAUUUUAUUUAGUGAUUUUGGCACCAAGGCCCAAAGUACAAUGCAGUUUGCAUAUUAACAUUUUCACGUGAUGUACAUGAUUAGAUUUUAAAGUUACACAUUUUUCAUUGUAAAGCAUGGAUCAUAUCAGGACUUUCUCCGAUUUACCGUUAUCUGACGGUCUUUGAAAAUACCCUGCACCAAGGGGAGAAAUGUAUAUCUUAAAUGGUUAUACUUUUCACAUAUAAGUAAAACAUUGUAUUCAUACUCUUUGUGCAAAUAGAAUUAAAAAUAUUACCGUCUUUGGA
This 1820-nucleotide long non-coding RNA is filed under the name Haliotis rufescens (red abalone). Its description in RNAcentral is "uncharacterized LOC124113947, transcript variant X2". Lineage: Eukaryota; Metazoa; Mollusca; Gastropoda; Lepetellida; Haliotidae. The record is from RNAcentral.